RNAcentral lists this long non-coding RNA (801 nucleotides) under Vitis vinifera (wine grape). Its description in RNAcentral is "long non-coding RNA (VVIN_LNC002678)". The record is from RNAcentral. Lineage: Eukaryota; Viridiplantae; Streptophyta; Magnoliopsida; Vitales; Vitaceae.
UUGGAAAUUUGUUUUUCUUUUAUUUUUCCUUUUUAUUUAUAAUAUUUCUCGUGAUUCUUUUUUUUUAAAUCUAAUAGAUUUCCUUCUAGAUCGAUGGAACUCAUAGACUUGUAUGUCCGUUUCAUUUAUUUUAGGGAAAUUGAUAUUUAAAUGAGCACAAUUCAUUUAUUUUAGAGAUGUGAAGCUCAAAUCCGUCACUUGCAGCUCUGGAGUGGAGCACCACACAAGCACCGAUUGUGAAAGUAGGAGUCGUAAUCGAAGCUCUGCAACUUCCCACCCACCGGAAUCUUACCACACAAACGAUUGUAACUCACGUUCAGGAACUGUAAAUCCAGAGAAGUCAUCAUCUCCGGCAGGCUCCCGGCGAUCUUGUUAUGCGAAAGGUCCAACGACGUCAAACUCUUCGGGAAUUCCACUCUCGAAAGAUCAAACUGGAACAAGUUCCGUGAGAAGUCAACGAUCUGUGUUGACUUAUUGGCAUUGAAGAAUAUUGACAGGUCACCCUCAAGCUUGUUACGCGAUAAGUCCAUGACGUUGGGGUCGAAUCCUCUGAAAGAAUAUGGGAUUUUCCCGGAAAGUUGGUUGUGUGAGAGGUGUAGACCUGGGGUAGAGCCGGCGAAUUUUCCGAAGGAGUCAGGGAUUGGGCCGGUGAGGUGGUUCCGGUCGAGAUGGAGUGCGCCGAGGUUGGGGAGGAGAGAGAGGCUGCCGGGAAUGGGUCCAGAUAGGUUAUUGAAGGAGAGGUCGAGGUACGUGAGGUUCUUAAGCUCGCUGAAGAACGCCGGCACGGGACCGGAGAGGUUG